CAGCGCUGUGUCCCGUUCUCCUCGCGGCCCCCCGGAGUCGUUGCGGGCGGGGCCCCCGCGGUGCCCCCGUGGAGCGUGUGUGCGCCGCGCUCACCCGGCCCCGGAGCCGGACAAACAAUGUGAGACUCGGAGGAACAAAAGCCUCGGGGCUUGGGUUGCUGAACACGUCUGAGGCCAGACAAGCCGCUCAGUUUAUUGGACUUGGUGAGAAAAUAAUAAUAAUAAUAAUAAUAAUAAUAAUAAUAAUAAUAAUAAUAAUAAUAAAGAAAUAGGGGGUGAGGCGGAGGAGGAGGGGGGGGCCGGAGGAAUCUGUCUCUCAAAGCGUCUUUAUUAGGGACCGAGGGCGGCGGCAGCGCUGCGGGGCCGGGCUGAGGAUGCUCCGGGAGCGGGGGAGCGGAGAGGGGGGGGGUCCUACUCCUGCCGUCCGUCUGCACGGGACUGGGGGGCGUGGGGUGGGUUCUUCCUGAGCCCCCCCCACCCCACCUUCUGCAGUGCCCCACGGAACUGUUCUGGGAAAGUUUGAGAAGGGCCGGUCACGGACCGAGCACCGCCGCCCUUUGCCGUGACCCCCUCCGCGCCCCGAUCCCCAAAAUUUCGGGGCAGGGAUGGAGAUCUGAGAUCUCCUCCUCACCCUCCCUCUCCAAGGAAGGGAGGCCCGCGCGAGGAGAGGCUGUGCAAAAUCCGGCAAUUCCGGCUGCCCUCAUUCGCCUCCCAUCUCGCCCCACUCGUGCACAACCCAGUGCCGAACCGUGGGGGGCAGAGGUGCAGCCGGGGGGCCUCCGCGCUCUGCUCGGAGCCGCUCACGGGGCUCCCCGAGGCCCCCAGCAAGAGAGAGGGGCCGAGCGCAGCGCGUCACAGCGCGGGGACAUUCACGCAGGGGGGGCUCUGAGAUGAGAGGGUCCCUCCCCCACAUCGGUGUGGUCCCUCUUCGAUCCGUACGAGCCCCAUCACCCCUCCACAGGGCAGCACAUCUGGCCAGAUGUGAGCGGCCCGGCGCCGGCUUUUCCUCCGCACGGUUUUACCAGCCAGGAGCGAAGACACUUUUCUUUCGGAUUUUCUUUUUUUUUUUCCCCUUUUAUUUCCUAUUUAUCUCAGAAAUACGCAUCCCCGCGCCGUGUCCUUAAUUCUCCUCGCAGGCGUGGGGAGAUUGAGCUCGAGCGGUUGUGCACGGAGGGGGGGACGGGGAGGGGGGGGGGGAAGGAAAAAGAGCAGCGGGCGGCAUCUCGGUUCGUGCGCUGCGCAGCUGGGCUCUUGGGAGCCGCCGGGUGCCCCAUAUCGAGCCUUUAUAUUUUAUUUUAUUUUAUUUUAUUUUAUUUUAUUUUAUUUUAUUUUAUUUUAUUUUAUUUUAUUUUAUUUUAUUUUAUUUUAUUUUAUUUUAUUAUUUUAUUUUAUUUUAUUUUAUUUAUUUUUUAUUUUAUUUUAUUAUUCUAUUUUUUAUUUUAUUCUAUUAUUUUAUUUUAUUUUCACGCCAUGAUUCGUGCCAAUUUGAAAGCCGGCCGCCUCCUAAUCGUCCCUUAGGCGUGCGAUCCCGAGCCUCGGUCUGUGCGGCUGCUCAUUGUAUUUGUUUGCAUUUUUGUCUGGCUUCAGUUUGCGUAAGCGACUUUGUCGAAAAGCAGCAAACCAUGGAGCGGGGGGUUUUUCAUUUGCUAAUGAAACCCAAAACACACCCGGGCGUCUCCUGCAGUCCGCUCGUGUCCUCCUGCCCCGGGACGUCGUUGGGAUGGCAGAAAUGCGCCGUCAUUGGGAGAGCAGAAGUUUUGAACGCGGUGCGUCGCGUUCGGGAUGAAGAGCGGCCGGAUCGCGGUUCUUCUUCGGGAGGUUUUAGCCACCUCCGCUCCUCCUUUGCUGCGGCGCUGGGGAUGCCGUUGACUCCACCAGACAGUGGCUUCCCCUGCUGUGAUGCCCCACUCGUUUCCUGGGCAGCCAAGAGCAAUGCUUGAGUCCUGGUGGAAGUUCAUUCAGAAUUGCCUGGAGCGAAGGCUGGAGAGGAAAACCACAACCACAGCAGAGCCUGGACACGGGGAGCUGCUAGCAGGACCCAUCUCAGGGACAGUCACUGUGUGUACCUUCCUCCAUCCUCCUCCUGCUCCCAGCAGCUGAUGGCCUGGAGCAGCACAGAGCAAGCCUGGCAUCGGGCUAUAGGGACACCAGGAGCACCCCGGGGAUAGGACCCAACACCAUGCCACACUGGUGGAGAACACAAAGCUGGAAGAGGGGAAAAAAAAAAUCAACAGAAGAAGAAGAAAAGAAUGGAAACGAAAGUCUCCAAACUCAGGAGAUCUGUGUUAAUUGCUUACGAACGUCUCCAUCCCAAAAGUUAUCCGAUUGAUGUUGUCGUGCUUUUUUUUUGACAGCCUGUCUGUUAUGUAUUUUUUUUUAAAUAUUCAUGCACCGAAAUCUAAUUACUAGGCAAAUUUAAUGAUAAUGAAAUGAAGGCACUUUAGCAGAAAGCAUAGGGCCUUGUUAAUAUUUUCUCAGUCUCUGUCUUGCUCACAUUUUUUUUUCACCGCCGCCUUUCUUGCAGUAUAAAAGAAUUGCCAAAAAUAAAACUUGGAUUGCUGAAGAUGUU
Molecule: long non-coding RNA, 2569 nt
Organism: Gallus gallus (chicken)
Lineage: Eukaryota; Metazoa; Chordata; Aves; Galliformes; Phasianidae
Source: Ensembl